CUGCUGUCAAUUAAGCUGACCGUACUCCUUUCCUCAUGGAAGCCCAGUGUGCAAUGACUACAAACAGCAGCGUCCUUGGUAGUGUACAUAGUGUGUUGCUUGCAUGGGUUGCUCUAAGUGAUCUUGGGGACAGCC
Molecule: small nucleolar RNA, 135 nt
Filed under: Propithecus coquereli (Coquerel's sifaka)
Lineage: Eukaryota; Metazoa; Chordata; Mammalia; Primates; Indriidae
Description: Small nucleolar RNA SNORA70 (ENSPCOG00000001682.1)
Rfam family: Small nucleolar RNA SNORA70
About the family: snoRNA U70 seems to be exclusive to mammals and is a member of the H/ACA class of snoRNA which contain H (ANANNA) and ACA box motifs. H/ACA box snoRNAs are involved in the conversion of uridines to pseudouridines (5-ribosyluracil) a constituent of structural RNAs (transfer, ribosomal, small nuclear, and small nucleolar).
Source: Rfam by way of RNAcentral